CACCUGCCACCACACCCGGCUAAUUUUUUGUAUUAUUUUUAGUAGAGACGGGGUUUCACCAUGUUAGCCAGGACAGUUUCGAUCUCCUGACCUCGUGAUCUGCCCACCUCGGCCUCCCAAAGUACUGGGAUUACAGGCGUGGGCCACCUCGCCUGGCCUAUCUUAAGAAACUAUCAUUCAUGUGUACAAGGAAGCAUAUAUAAAAAAAAAUGCUUGAAGCUUUGUUUGUAAUAAUGAAAAUCAGAACAACCUACAUGCCCAUCGAUUUAGGAGUGGCCAAAUAAACUGUGGCAGAUCCAACCUAUAAAUUACUAAAGAAUUGUGAUAAGGAAUAAUGUUGCUUUAUGCCUGUCAACAGCGUGAGCAAGGCAGGGUUCUAAGUUCUUACCUAAAUUUACUCAUCUAAUCCUCACAAGACCCUGUGGCUAUAGGUAUACCACAAUCCCAAUUUAUAAAGCAGAGAAACUGCGGCUGGAGGGUUUAAAUAAUUUGUAUCAUGCAACUAGCAAGUGACAAAGCUAUGAUCUGAGUCCAGGCAGUGUGGCCCCAGGCUCCAUCCUCUUACCCUUCAUGCUAAUUUAUUGCUGAGUGGGGAAAAAAGCAAGCAGCAGAAAGACACACAAAAUAUAUAAUACUAUUCAGGUAAAAUAUACACACAACACAGUACCAUGUUGUUUCUAAAUAUGUACAUAAAGGUGAGAAAAUGAUCUAUUUUAACAAUCAAACCAAUUUACAACAUUGGUUGCCCAUGUGAAGGUGCUAAAGGAACAAGGAUUGGCAGUGAUGACCAGGAAUAAUUUCAUCUUGACAUAUAACGUCUUAAAUUUUAAAACAAAAUGUGUUCCAGUAUUAUAGAAUGACUUAAAAUUUAUAAAAUAAAAAUAGUCAGAAGGAAUCACCUACUUCAGGAUUAAAUGAGUUCCCUAACAUAAAAAGCAUUAGCUUAGAUUUCUACUCUUGAGGAACUCUUCAGGGAGGGAUUCAAGCAUCAGUGAGGGAUUGGACAGGAAAACCACCCCAGCUGGUUGGUUACCAGAGAAACUCAACAUGCUCCCAAUUAAACUCAGUAUCUUUUACCCUCAAACUUCUUAAUCCUCUGGUCUCUCCUAGUUCCAUAAGACAUUGCUUACAUUUACCCAGUGUAAUUAUAAUUCUGUAUAAGUUCUGUUUUUCUAACUCUAACUUCUUUAUUCACAUAAAAUAACUUUCACUAUUCUUCUGAAAGCCUUUAAUAAUGUGAAGAUGGCUAUUUAUCCCUGUCUUCUCUCCUCCUACUUCCACUUCUACCACCAUCACCGCCACCACCACCGCCUCUGCCACCUCCACUACCAUCAUUUCCACCACCACCAUCACCACCACCACCACCAUCAUCCUAGUUGUGGUGGUGCUGAUAAGAACUAGUGGUAAUGGUGAUGAUAGUGGCUGUAGCAGUGGUGGUGAUGAUGAGAAUGAAUCAAGGUAGCAAUGUGAUAGAUUGGUGCUGGUGAUGGUGGUGGUGAUGGUGGUGGUGGUGGUAAUGGUGGUGGUAAUGGUGGUGUAGGUGGUGGAGGUGGUGGUGGUGGUGGUGGUGAUGGUGGUAGAAGUGGUGGUGGUGAAGGUGGUGGAUGUUGGUGGUGGUGAUAAUUGUAGUGGAGGUGGUACAGGUGUUGGUGGUGGUGGUGAUGGUAGUAGAAGUGGUGGUGGUGAAGGUGGUGGAUGAUGGUGGUGGUGGUGAUAAUGGUGGUGGAGGUGGUAGAGGUGUUGGUGGUGGUGGUGAUGGUAGUAGAAGUGGUGGUGGUGAAGGUGGUGGAUGAUGGUGGUGGUGGUGAUAAUGGUGGUGGAGGUGGUAGAGGUGUUGGUGGUGGUGGUGAUGGUAGUAGAAGUGGUGGUGGUGAAGGUGGUGGAUGAUGGUGGUGGUGGUGAUAAUGGUGGUGGAGGUGGUAGAGGUGUUGGUGGUGGUGGUGAUGGUAGUAGAAGUGGUGGUGGUGAAGGUGGUGGAUGAUGGUGGUGGUGGUGAUAAUUGUAGUGGAGGUGGUAGAGGUGUUGGUGGUGGUGGUGAUGGUGGUAGAAGUGGUGGUGGUGAAGGUGGUGGAUGAUGGUGGUGGUGGUGAUAAUUGUAGUGGAGGUGGUAGAGGUGUUGGUGGUGGUGGUGAUGGUGGUAGAAGUGGUGGUGGUGAAGGUGGUGGAUGAUGGUGGUGGUGGUGAUAAUUGUAGUGGAGGUGGUAGAGGUGUUGGUGGUGGUGGUGAUGGUGGUAGAAGUGGUGGUGGUGAAGGUGGUGGAUGAUGGUGGUGGUGGUGAUAAUGGUGGUGGAGGUGGUAGAGGUGUUGGUGGUGGUGGUGAUGGUGGUAGAAGUGGUGGUGGUGAAGGUGGUAGAUGAUGGUGGUGGUGGUGAUAAUGGUGGUGGAGGUGGUAGAGGUGUUGGUGGUGGUGGUGAUGGUGGUAGAAAUGGAGGUGGUGGAGGUAGUGGUGAUGCAGGUAAUAGAGGUGGUAGUGGUGAUGAUGGAGGCAGUGGAGGUGAUGGCAGUGGUAGUGCUGGUAGUACAUGUUGGUGAAGGUGGUGAAAGGUGAGGAUAGUGGUGGUGGUGGGUGGUGGUGGGUGAUGGUGGUGGAGGUGGGUGAUGGUGGUGGUAGUGGAGGUGAUGGUGGUGGAGGUGGGGGUCGUGGUGGUGGAGGUUAUGAAGGUAGAGGUGGUGGUAGUGGUGGUGGUGGAGGUGGUGGGGUAGCUGUGGGUGAUAGUGGAAGUUAUGAUCAUGGUGAUGGGUGAUGGUGGUAGUGGUAGAGAUGGUGGCAGUGGUGGUGUUGGUGGUACCUGAUGGUGGUGGUGGUAGAGGUGAGGCUAGUGGUGGUGGAGGUGGGCGAUGGUGGUGGUAGUGAAGGUGAUGGUGGUGCAGGUGGUGGAGGUGGUGGUGAUGGUGGGUGAUAGUGGUGUUGGUGAAGGUGGUGGUGGGUGACGGUGGUAAAGGUGGUAGUAUUAAUGACAAUCAGAAUGAGUGCCAGUGCCAUGACAGUAGUCGUGGUGAUGGUGAUGAUGACACUGGUAGUGGUGAUGGUGGUGGAGGUCACAAAGGAAUAAGAAAACAAUCUAUUUUAAAGAAAAACAAACCACUGUGCCUACAACACAGCGCAGCACGUUGACAUGGCAGUGAUGACAAUGGUAGUGAUGGUGCAAAAGGUAGUGGAUGUGAUAGUGGUGGUAGCAAUGGAGAUGGGGGAGGUGGUGAAAGUGGCAGCGACGGUGGGAAUAAGUGAAGAUCAAAGUGGCAGUCCUUGUGAUUGUGAUGGCGAUGGCGAUACUGGUGAAGGUGAUGAAGUUGGUGCAGCUGGUGGAGGUGGUGGUGGUGAUGGUGGUAAGAGUGAGCAGAGGCAACAGUGUUAGUGGUGGGGAUGGUGGUGACGAUUACGGGGCAGAUGAUAACAAUAAAGUGUUAGGCAUUUGGCACAGAACUGAAAGUAAUGGCAAGAUAGACAUGGUGACCAUGGUGAUGAUGAAAACAGGUUGGUGAUGAUGAAAACAGAGGUGUUUAGUUCAAGCAGGUGAAAAGACAAAAGCAGCUCUAGAUCUAGGUCUGAUACCUGGAUACUGAGACCAAAGCUUCUUCCCCAUUUUUGCUGCCGCCAUUUGUCAGAAAAAGUGGAGAAAAGUUACAUGGAAAGUAGACUAAGAUGAGGACAGUAAAUAGAAUGUCACUACCCAAGCUAUGGGGCCUAUAGGACCUCAUGUGCUCCUUCCCAGCCACAGCAGCUUUUUCUAGAUCUCAGCCCUCCAUGUCUACUCCAUUUGGGGUUUGCCAUGAUGACAAUUUCCUGUGUGCAUCGGAAAGCAAGAAAAGUGGAAAGAGAGUAAGACAAGUGCACCAAGGCAGUAUCCUGGAGUCUCUCUUCGCCCACCCUGGAUAAGCCGUGGCCAGACCUGUCAGAGCUGGCCCUACUAAUUGCUACUUCCAUGUCGGGAGGUCACCAAGUGGGAGUGUGAGGCUGCAUUCCAGUGGUGGUAGAAGGCCCCACCAGCCACACCUGCCCAACACUCCCACAGACACUGAGCCUGCUGAAGUACACUUGGCCUGUUCUACCAUGGACAGCAAGGUGAGCAAUUAGGCCCAGGAAUCAGAAAACAAUCUAUUUUAAAGAAAAACAAAUCACUGUGCCUACAGCAGCCUGUCCAAACACAGUAAUCACAAUAACCAUGGCAUCCCUGAAAGCCAGUGGCAUUUCUGAAACUCAUUCCAGCAAACACAAUAAACAAUUUGGAGUUGAACCAGGCUAAUUCCAUCUCUGUCUGCCAAGGGUUUGGCUAAAGCACCUCCACUGUCUCAUAUUUGAUUCUCUGAGGGAUUAGGCACAAUGAGAGCAGCAAUUAAUGUCACACUUUUGCCCCUUCCUGGCACCUUCCCCUAGAUUGUAUUGGGUUUCCCAGAUAUGACACUAUGCUGAGCAAGGCUGGCAGUUAAGUGUGGCAUCCAUAUGUCCUGUCCAUAUGUCCUAUGUAUAGCCAGCUCUUAAGUGAUGAUGAUAAUGAUGGUGAUGGUGGUGGCGCCAUCAGGGACUCCCAAAUUGGGCUACAUUAUCUACUUACCAGAGCAAGCUCAUCCUCCAAUGAAAUAACAUCCUCCUAAGGCCACAAAUGCCAAGCAUCCCCUCAAAUCACACUCUUUCCUGUUCUAUCUUCUUCUCUCAAAAGCCUCAUUACCUGCUCCCUACUGGGCACAAUUGCCUUGGUUAGGAUGUUCCCCUUUAGUUUUGUUUAACUCACACUUACAGGGCACCACUGUGUAGCAGACACUUGGCAAAGUACUGGAGUUUCAGUGAUGAACAACCUUCAAUGAUCAACAACUUUAAUUUACAGAACUCAAGGAGUUCUUAGUCCAGCAAGGGAGAUGGACAUGUAAUAUAUAAUGUAAACACAAUAUGGAAAGUGGUUUUAUUCGGUUUCUUUUAAGGUAAGCUCAGAAUAUUACAGGAGCACAAUAAGAGGGCACAUAACCUAGUGUUGGACAAGGCUUCUUGAAAGCUCUUGGCUCACUUGGCCGAGACCCUCCUUUCCAUCCAGCCCAAAUUAAGGUUGAGUGGAAGACAAAACCUGAGUGUCCCCUGCUGAAGGGAGCCACGAUAGCCCCCCCCCCCCCAUUCUCUCAUGGAAGCUUAAUAAAUCAGCUUGAAUCCCAGUUUCUUAGGGUCUUUAAGGUUCUGGAUUCCUCAGCAAUCUCUUCCUGGAAGGGGUCCAGGACUAAGGGACCAAACCCAACAACCUUCUGACCCAAAAUCUUCUGGGGCUGAACUCUCCACAUGUCCCCUCAACCCACUGCCAGCGGCAUAAAAGGGAGAACAUCACCAGACAAGGAGCAAAUCAGGCUGCCAGUAUUUUUGUGCAAGGAACUGUGAGCAAUUAGAAACAUCCAGUCCUUUCCUCAUGAAGGUUACAGUCCUAUCAAAGCUAGAAGAAACAUGGAGAUCAGCUAGCCCAGUCCACUCACUGUAUAGCUGAGGAAACUGAGCUGCCCAACAUUGCACGAAACCUAGUCCUUGUCCCAUUGAGCUAGAAUGUGUGUUCCACAAAGGCAGGGAAUUUUUUGUCUGUUUUGUCUCUGUCUAGAGCAAUGUGUGACAACUAGACAGCUCUCAGAAAAUAUUUGCUGAUGCUGAUGUUGACACAGAAUUGUAUCACACCGGACAGCAGGAUUGUGGAAAACAUGGGCUUUGGAGUCAGACAAAUCCAACUGUAGUCCUGGCUCAGUUGCUUUUGACCGUGUGACCUUGGCAGGUUAUUUGUGCUCCUCACACCUCACUUUUGUUAUCUAUGAUAUGUGGAUAACAGUGCUACAGAAUGUGGUGAGGUUCCAACAUGGAGAAACACCCAACAUAGCACCUGGAACAUAGGAUGUGCUCAAUAAAUGGUAGUUAUCACUGCUAGUAAUAGUAUUAAGUACCGAGUGACUGACUCAGAGAAGAACUUGGGAGAGAACUGAACAAAAGGGGCAAAGCUAGCCAGACCCCCCAAUCCAAUAUCAACCAUGAAGGCAAACCCACGAGAGAAAAUCUGCCCCUGAAAUAGUUCCUCUAUGCACUCCCCACCCCUUCUCCCUCAUUGACACCUGACACUUUAUCACUGAGCUUCAUCCUUUCCAUUAUAAUUCUGACUCUUUUAACCUAUCACUCCCUGAAUAGAGAAGACCCACUUUAAAUCAGAUGCCCACACUCUAAUUUAAAUGAAUUGUACAAUCUUUCCUUGAGUUCAACUAGCAGUGUUUAAUCAAAUACUGACUGUUUUCCAAUGGCUUUCCCAUAUAAUAGAUCUUGUUUAAUCUGCACAGCAUCCUCAAAACAUAGGCAAAUCAAAGAUAUUUUACACAUGAAGAUAUAGGAUCAGAAAGGCUAAGCGGCACACUUGCAGUGUCACAGCUGGCAAAUGAUAUAACCAAGAUUCCGCCUCAGAUCCUCUGACAUCAAUUCAGUCACCAAAGUCUCACCAAGACCCAGGAACAAUUUCAAUAAUGAGCUAGUAGCAGAAUGACAGAGGCUCAGGCAUCCCCUGCUGAAGGAAGUCACAACAGCCUCCCCCUUCUAUCAUGAAAGCUAAAUAAAUCAGCUUGAAUUUCAGUUUCUCAGGGUCUUUAAUUUUCUGGGUUCCUCUGAGAUCUCAGCCUGGGAGAGCUGAGAUGUCUCAGCUGCUUGCAUCUCAAGCAGCCAGUGCAAUGCCUAGCCCAGCCCACAGCAAAUGCUGGUAGAAUGAAUGGAUGAACAAAUAAACUCUUCCACAUCUGCCUACUUCUGGAAUUGUUACUGACCUAGAUAUUAGACGCUUUGGCCUGGGUGGGGAGGAUAUUAACCCCUAGGAUGAGGGGCUCCAAGGACACACUGCCUGCUUCACAGGGUGCCUCUGGCUGCGUCCAAAGACAAUGCUCUGGGCCAGCUCCUGAGUCUAGAGUGGCCCACAGUUCCAACGCUGUGUUUCAGCAGGGAGACAGACCCACUCUCACACUUGCGAACCCUCCCCCUACCCUUAGGUGAAUGUGGGGGCAGAACUCCUGCACCACAAGUGUUCAUUUUCCAGGAGGACAUGUGGAACUCUCCAAAGGGAAGAAGCAGGACCCGUGCUUUUAACCUAGUGUUUCCUAAACCUCAGUAAUUCACAUACCUCCUUGGUAGUUUUUCCCAUAUUCAUGAACCACUUGUAUGAUUAUUUAUUCAACACUUUUCUCUGGAUGAACUCACAAUUUUUACUUAACCAGAUUUAUUUUUGAAGAUAUACUACCACGGUGUUACCUUCUUUUACCUCAUCCUAAGCAAUGAUACCCAUAAAAUAAAUCUGAAGUGCUUACUGUGUACACAUUAAAAGAAAUAUAUUUUCUAUUUUAAUGUAUAGCUAUCAGAAUAAGGAGGCUUUUUAACUCACUAGCAGAAAGCACACUUCGCUUUACGUAACUCUUCUGCAAUCCAUAUAGGAUCCAGCAGGGAUUAUGUGGAGUAAAAUGUCCUAAUUAAUCACUGAGAGCAAUUAUACACCAUGAAUAAUUUAAUCAUGCAUCAACAUCACAGUCAUGUUGAUAAUGCAAUAAUACCAAUAAUCCAAAAACCUGUGCUGACAUCCACUUUAAAACUUCUAGUAUGCUAUAAUCUCUAUUAUCUCUCCCUUUUGGAGCCAAACAGGCCUUAUAAUUUCUUGGAGUUGCCAGAAUUUGAUCACAGAGCCCAGAGUGGGGUAGGGAGAGAUAUUAUUCUGACUAGACUCAAACCAGCACUGUUACAAAUCUUGAAACAACUCCUCUGUCCUCCCUACCUCCCUUUUCUGUCUCCCUCUUUCUAUUCUCUGCAUCAUUCUUUCUUUCCUUCUUUUUCUUUAAACAAACACUGACUCACUGCCUGGUGUAUCCACGGACUCCAGGUUUACUAAGAGCUGCAAUGCCAUCCCUGCCUUCCAGGAGCAAACAAUCUUGUUGGGGAGGUGAAAAUAGGGCAAAGACUUAAUAUUGUCCCCACCCAGGCCAAAACAUCUAAUACCCAGGUCAGUAACAAUUCUAGAUGUGGGAAGAUGUGAAAGAGUGCAUUCAUUCAUCCAUUCAUUCUACCAGCAUUCAUUGUGGGCUGGGCUAGGCAUUGCACUAGCUGCUUGAAAUGCAAGACAAUGAACAAAACCUAGUAACUCCCCCUCCAAGGAGACCUCAGUCUAGGGAGAAAUGGGGUUACUGAGCUGCAUAAAGCCAAGUGUGCUUUCUGCAAGGUGAAGUGCUCUCAAUCGAACUGGGAUGCUGAGGAAGCUUUCCUGGAAGGGUGAUGUCUGAUAGAGUAUUGAAAGAGAAAUUAGACAAAUUAAGGAAGGGGGCAUUCACAGAUGGAGGGAAAAGCACAGGAAAAAUAUGAAGGCAUGGGAAACAACCUGACUCAAUGGGGGAGAGGGUUUUGUUGAGUUUGGAGGACAAUGCUCCUAUCAGGGAGCAGUCAGAGAUGAACAGGAACUGAACCACAAAAGGCCCUUUGGGCUAAGAAAUCUGGACUUGCUCCUGAUAUGUAGACACUGAGGAUUUUUAGUAGAAAAAUGAAGUAACUGGGACAAAUCCAGUAACAGUUGCUGCAAAUACACAGUAACAAUGCAGUUACCAUAGACACCAAGGCUGGCUGACAAGUGAGAAUCCGAGAGCAAUCCUCAGGCCAGGAAAGAGGGCCAGCAAUCCUGUUCACAUUUCCAGGAGAAAGGAAACUGGUUCUUGAGGAAGAGUAGGGUGUGAGGACAGAGAUUAAAGACAGUGGAGGUCUGAGACACACAGACACACAUAGGAAUAUGUACACACAUCACACACAUACAGUGCACACAUAUUACACAUGUGUAUGUAGACAUUUGUACACAUAUCACACAUAUGUACACACAUAACAUACAGCUAUAUGUGCAUGCCAUACCAAGAGACAUGUGUACGCACAACACAUGCACACACAGAUGUGUACACUCAUCACACACAGGCACAUGUAUGUGCAUCACAUAUACACAGAUUGACAUGUACACAGAUCACACAUAUGACAGACAUAUGUGCACACAUAACAGAUAUAUGUACAUACCACAUACAAAGGCAUGUGUACACACAUAACACAUGCAGACAGACGUGUAUGCUCAUCACACAGGCAUGUACAUGUACAUCACAUAUACACAUAUUGACAUGUACAGAGAUCAUACAUAUGACAGACAUGUACGCACACCACACACAGAAACGUCUACACCCAUACCCAUAGAUAUAUGUACACAUAUAUGCACAGAGAUGUGCACACACUGCACCAUAUGCACACAUUUACACUCAUACACAUGAAAGCAACAUGAAAGUCAAAGUCCGAAUCUGGAAAAACCUCUGUCAACAAUUUUUACUGUUUUCCAAUCCUAUCUCAAAACUCACUCUUUCCAGAAGACUUUUCCAGUUGCUUCUCUUCUCUGCAUCCCCUCAUCCCCCCGGCAAUGGGCUAGCACUUCUCUCAAGCAUUCUAUUACAGAAUGACUUAUUUUCCACAUGCCACCACUAAGCUGUCUGCUUCCCUCUUCCCCUUCCUCAUGCCCUCUCACACACAUACCAAAAGGGGCCACUUCAGACCACACAUGCCCAGGGGAAUCCUGGUUCAGAAGCCUGUGAAGAGAAGAGAGCUUUAAAAAGACAAGAUGGAAACCGCAUUUUGGGGAAAAUCAAUGAUUCUGUGGAUCUAGACAGAGUCUGGGGGAACCAAGGCUUAUACACAAGGAAGUUGGGGGGCCAAGAAGUAAAGGUUUGAGAUAAAAGAGGGUAUUUCACCACACAAACCUUUCUCCUCACCUACUAUGCAGCCAACACUGUGUAUACAAAGAAAGAUAAGGUCCCUUCCAGCAGCCUACCAGGGAGACAACCAAGAUCUGGAGAAAUUCAAGAGAGCGUUCUCAAGGGUACAGUGGACACAGGACAGCUGGAAGGUGUACAUGGUAAGAAUGGGAGUGGGCCACGGAGACCAGCCAUUAAAGCUAGUAGUCAUGGAGUCCAUGGCGUGACAUGGGGGUCCAGGUCUGUGCAUGAUGACACUGCCAUAUGGAGAGUCAGCAGCCAAAAUUGAGAGUUUGUAGAAAGAGGAAGUAUAAAUUAAGAGAAAAAACACAAGAACAAGAUUAAAAUACUCAACAACAUUUGAAAUACUACAACUUACCAGCUGUAUUUGGAUGAUGGAAUUAUAGGUGACUUUUUUUUUUUUGGCUUUGCUUUUCAAAUUUGUAGCAAAUUUUUUUUUCUUUUUUUGGUUUUAAUUUUUGUAGCAGAAUGAUUUACUAAGGAUAAGGGGCCAGCUCCACCACCAGGGGAUUCCCUGCUGCAGGCACACAUGCACACCUGUAGACAUAUGAACACACGUCACACAAAUUAAUCCUUCCUCUGGGAUCUGAAGUGGCAUACACUAAUUGCAGGAGGAUCUAAAGCAACGCAGCCUGCCCACAUGCCUUUCUUAAUCCUGUGCAAUUAUACGCACCCUGGGUGAUGACACUCGCAGAGGUUAUUCUUAAGGCAAGAUUACUUUCCUCACCCUGCCCUCCUGCUGCACCCUCCCUUUUCCUGCAUACUCAGCUCAGGUGGGAAAUGCUCUCUGGGAGAAAAAUUCCCAAAAUUCCAUUGAUUUGAGCCUAAGGCUGGCAUACAGGGAGGUAUGACAUUUUUAUGCUCUUUUCCCAUUGGCCUGUGAUCCUUGUCAACCCACCUAGCUUCUUCCCUGUCACUGCCUCUGACCAUCCUCAUCUCUCCUUCCUCUCUAUCCAGAGAAGAGCCAUGGGAAGGAGGCAUAAAAAAUAUCUACUAAGAUGGGAGUGGAUUACAUUAACUUCAUAGAUGGAGAAACUGAGAUCUGAGGGACAAGACCUUGCCCAAGCUCACAAGGUGUUGGUGGCCAGGCAGGUUUAGAGCAUUGCCCCGCUGACAAGACCCCAAGACCUCAGCAGAGGAAAGACCUUGAUCCCUACCCUUCAGAACAGACCAGAAGCUAACAAACUUCCUAGCUCCCAGCAGUUUGCCAUAGCAAAUUUAUUUAAGAUACUUUCAUAGAAAACAAAAUCAGAUUAUAUUUUCCCUCCUCUAUGAGAUUAAAUUCUCAUCAUCUCUUUGACUGAUCAACAUAUUUACAAAUAUUUACUCUGAGGUCCAGCCCUGAGUUACAUGGGGAUAUGGAGAGUUAGGGAGAUCCAUAUUGCCAGGGAUACUCUUAGCCCAGAAGAGAAGGCCCAAGGAAUCUGUGCCAGAUGUAAAUCAUGGUUCCACAGUCCCACCUCUUGGGAUUCUCUGAGCACAUGGAUGGAACCAGACAAAGAGGUCACUGGAGACCCACCCACCAAGCCAUGAUGUCACUUUUUUAAGCAUUAGGAAAGUUUGCCCCAAGUCAUCCACCUGAUUUCAACAGGUUCAGCUAUUGAAAUAAGGAGUAUAAUUUGAAGAAUGAGCAAAAAUUAAGGAUAACCAGCAAGUCUGAGGAACAGGAUUACUGGCCAAGACAGAGAUUGAAUCCAGAUUGUGGUCUUCAGUUGUAAAUCCUAUUAACAGUCUGGGUAAGACAGAGGUCACACUCAAAGCCCACUGCAGCUGCAGGGAAUUCCUGAAAGUAGUGCUUAAGAAUCAAAAUUGGAUUUAAAACCAAAAGGGAAGGAGCAUUUGCCUUGCUUUGCUUCUCAAUGGUGCCCAGCGAAGAAGUGCAUUGGUGCAGGUUAUCUGAGAUAGCACACGGCUGAAAAGCAUGAGUGAAAGCUUUUAGGCCAAGCAACCUAAAAGGCUACAGGUUUGAAAUGCUUAUGCUUUUUUCUUUCUGCCAUAUUGAUUUCCAGGUUGUCUGACUUGGAAUCAGUUAAAACAACAUGGAUAAUUCAACCAACAGAUAUCAGUGGAUCCAGC
This 11841-nucleotide long non-coding RNA is filed under the name Homo sapiens (human). Its description in RNAcentral is "long non-coding RNA NONHSAT149833.1". Lineage: Eukaryota; Metazoa; Chordata; Mammalia; Primates; Hominidae. The record is from RNAcentral.